This is a long non-coding RNA of Actinia tenebrosa (Australian red waratah sea anemone), 412 nucleotides long. The record is from RefSeq and is a predicted model, not a curated record. NCBI's taxonomy places the organism in Eukaryota, Metazoa, Cnidaria, Anthozoa, Actiniaria, Actiniidae.
CAAUUCUCCAGUCAUUCGUUGAACGUGUUGUUGUAGAUUGUUGGUAUUCCAUUGAUUUCCCACCAAAGAUCAGCCUGYUUUCUGGUCAACUGGUACGUUAGGUAAUUCAGUAUUGAUGUGUUGUGGUGUAAUGGCUGAUGUAAACAGAGUUUAGAGAUCAGUCAAGCAUGGCAGAGGUAGAAGCAGUAGAUCCAGAUUGGUGUGGAUAUGAAUGCAAGUCAGGACAGAUUCUGUUCUACUAUAACAAGAGAACAGGAGAACACAGAUGGGAAGGUGGUGAUUAUAUUUUCAUGUCAGAGACAGAUAAAAUAGAUCCAGAUUGGUGUGGUUAUGAAUGUAAGUCAGGAGAGAUUCUGUUCUACUAUAACAAGACAACAGGAGAACACAGAUGGGCAGGUAGUGAGCAUGUAAG